GCGGGGAUGCCGGAGUGGCCAAACACAAGCUUUAAGCAAAAUGGGCUUUACGGGCUAGGCUAAGGACCUAGUGGCUUAGGCCUACGCAGGUUCGAAUCCUGUUCUCCGCA
RNAcentral lists this transfer RNA (110 nucleotides) under Candidatus Woesearchaeota archaeon. Its description in RNAcentral is "tRNA-Leu". It matches the Rfam family "tRNA". From Rfam's summary of the family: Transfer RNA (tRNA) molecules are approximately 80 nucleotides in length. Lineage: Archaea; Nanobdellati; Candidatus Woesearchaeota. The record is from RNAcentral.